GUGAAGGCCCUGCUGAAGCAGUGGGAGGCGGCGUUCCUCCGGGAGCGGCGGAGAAAACCCACCCAGGCUGACAUCGAGGCGGCUCCGGAGGACACCAAACGGCUCUACAAGGAGUAUAAGACGCUCAAGCAGCAGAGAGAGAAGUCGGAUCCCUCCCAGCUCAGCCCCUCCUGCCAACCAGCAGCCCAGGAGACCCCAACUGCAGAGCAGGCGCCGGACUCCGGUUGUUGGGGAGCACACCUGAACCGGCAGCCCAAAACCCC
This 263-nucleotide long non-coding RNA is filed under the name Athene cunicularia (burrowing owl). RNAcentral's name for it is "lncRNA (ENSACUG00000012636.1)". Lineage: Eukaryota; Metazoa; Chordata; Aves; Strigiformes; Strigidae. The record is from RNAcentral.